Molecule: ribosomal RNA, 509 nt
Filed under: Fusarium oxysporum
Lineage: Eukaryota; Fungi; Ascomycota; Sordariomycetes; Hypocreales; Nectriaceae
Description: eukaryotic LSU rRNA
Rfam family: 5.8S ribosomal RNA (bases 152-305)
Source: RNAcentral
UUACCGAGUUUACAACUCCCAAACCCCUGUGAACAUACCACUUGUUGCCUCGGCGGAUCAGCCCGCUCCCGGUAAAACGGGACGGCCCGCCAGAGGACCCCUAAACUCUGUUUCUAUAUGUAACUUCUGAGUAAAACCAUAAAUAAAUCAAAACUUUCAACAACGGAUCUCUUGGUUCUGGCAUCGAUGAAGAACGCAGCAAAAUGCGAUAAGUAAUGUGAAUUGCAGAAUUCAGUGAAUCAUCGAAUCUUUGAACGCACAUUGCGCCCGCCAGUAUUCUGGCGGGCAUGCCUGUUCGAGCGUCAUUUCAACCCUCAAGCACAGCUUGGUGUUGGGACUCGCGUUAAUUCGCGUUCCCCAAAUUGAUUGGCGGUCACGUCGAGCUUCCAUAGCGUAGUAGUAAAACCCUCGUUACUGGUAAUCGUCGCGGCCACGCCGUUAAACCCCAACUUCUGAAUGUUGACCUCGGAUCAGGUAGGAAUACCCGCUGAACUUAAGCAUAUCAAUAA